CCAGCAGCUGCGGUAAUUCCAGCUCCAAUAGCGUAUAUUUAAGUUGUUGCAGUUAAAAAGCUCGUAGUUGGAUUUCGGGUGGGUGUUAGCGGUCCGGCUCUGCUGUGUACUGCUAGUGCCUAUCUUUCUGUCGGGGACGGGCUCUUGGGCUUCAUUGUCCGGGACUCGGAGUCGACGUGGUUACUUUGAGUAAAUUAGAGUGUUCAAAGCAAGCGUUCGCUGUGAAUACAUUAGCAUGGAAUAACACGAUAGGACUCUGGCUUAUCUUGUUGGUCUGUAAGACCGGAGUAAUGAUUAAGAGGGACAGUCGGGGGCAUUCGUAUUUCAUUGUCAGAGGUGAAAUUCUUGGA
This 350-nucleotide ribosomal RNA is filed under the name uncultured eukaryote. Its description in RNAcentral is "SSU rRNA". It matches the Rfam family "Eukaryotic small subunit ribosomal RNA", at positions 567 to 924 of the family's 1831-position model. The record is from RNAcentral.